This 425-nucleotide ribosomal RNA is filed under the name uncultured bacterium. RNAcentral describes it as "bacterial SSU rRNA". It matches the Rfam family "Bacterial small subunit ribosomal RNA", at positions 361 to 777 of the family's 1533-position model. The record is from RNAcentral.
AUAUUCCGCAAUGGACGAAAGUCUGACGGAGCAACGCCGCGUGAGUGCAGAAGGCCUUCGGGUCGUAACACUCUGUUGCCGGGGAAGAACAAGUGCCGUUCGAACAGGGCGGCACCUUGACGGUACCCGGCCAGAAAGCCACGGCUAACUACGUGCCAGCAUCGGCGGUAAUACGUAGGUGGCAAGCGUCGUCCGGAAUUAUUGGGCGUAAAGCGCGCGCAGGCGGCUUCUUAAGUCUGAUGUGAAAUCUUGCGGCUCAACCGCAAGCGGUCAUUGGAAACUGGGAGGCUUGAGUGCAGAAGAGGAGAGUGGAAUUCCACGUGUGGCGGUGAAAUGCGUAGAGAUGUGGAGGAACACCAGUGGCGAAGGCGGCUCUCUGGUCUGUAACUGACGCUGAGGCGCGAAAGCGUGGGGAGCAAACAGGA